This 491-nucleotide ribosomal RNA is filed under the name uncultured bacterium. RNAcentral's name for it is "partial 16S ribosomal RNA". It matches the Rfam family "Bacterial small subunit ribosomal RNA", at positions 29 to 507 of the family's 1533-position model. The record is from RNAcentral.
AUUGAACGCUGGCGGCAUGCUUUACACAUGCAAGUCGAACGGUAACAGGCCUUCGGUGCUGACGAGUGGCGAACGGGUGAGUAAUGCAUUGGAACGUAACCCGAGGGGGGGGAAAAAGCAGCGAAAGCUGUGCUAAUAACGCAAGUGAUUCGAGGAUGAAAGCGGGGGACCGAGCAGCAAUGUUUGGCCUCGCGCCUUUUGAACCGCCGAUGUCGGAUUAGCUAGUUGGUGGGGUAAAGGCCUACCAAGGCGACGAUCCGUAGCUGGUCUGAGAGGACGACCAGCCACACUGGGACUGAGACACGGCCCAGACUCCUACGGGAGGCAGCAGUGGGGAAUUUUGGACAAUGGGCGCAAGCCUGAUCCAGCAAUGCCGCGUGCGGGAAGAAGGCCUUCGGGUUGUAAACCGCUUUUGGCAGGAACGAAACGGUGUCCGCUAAUACCGGGCGCUAAUGACGGUACCUGCAGAAUAAGCACCGGCUAACUACGUG